Molecule: ribosomal RNA, 253 nt
Filed under: uncultured bacterium
Lineage: Bacteria
Description: partial 16S ribosomal RNA
Rfam family: Bacterial small subunit ribosomal RNA
Source: RNAcentral
UACGAAGGGGGCUCGCGUUGUUCGGAAUUACUGGGCGUAAAGCGCACGUAGGCGGACUACUAAGUCAGGGGUGAAAUCCCGGGGCUCAACCCCGGAACUGCCUUUGAUACUGAUAGUCUCGAGUCCGGAAGAGGUGAGUGGAAUUCCGAGUGUAGAGGUGAAAUUCGUAGAUAUUCGGAAGAACACCAGUGGCGAAGGCGGCUCACUGGACUGGUAUUGACGCUGAGGUGCGAAAGCGUGGGGAGCAAACAGG